RNAcentral lists this ribosomal RNA (1408 nucleotides) under uncultured bacterium. Its description in RNAcentral is "bacterial SSU rRNA". It matches the Rfam family "Bacterial small subunit ribosomal RNA". The record is from RNAcentral.
AGAGUUUGAUCCUGGCUCUAGGAUGAACGCUGGCGGCGUGCUUAACACAUGCAAGUCGAACGAAGCACUCUAUUUGAUUUCCUUCGGGAUUGAUUAUUUUGUGACUGAGUGGCGGACGGGUGAGUAACGCGUGGGUAACCUGCCUUGUACAGGGGGAUAACAGUUGGAAACGGCUGCUAAUACCGCAUAAGCGCACAGUACCGCAUGGUAUAGUGUGAAAAACUCCGGUGGUAUAAGAUGGACCCGCGUUUGAUUAGCUGGUUGGUGGGGUAACGGCCUACCAAGGCGACGAUCAAUAGCCGACCUGAGAGGGUGACCGGCCACAGUGGGACUGAGACACGGCCCAAACUCCUACGGGAGGCAGCAGUGGGGAAUAUUGCACAAUGGGCGAAAGCCUGAUGCAGCGACGCCGCGUGAGCGAAGAAGUAUUUCGGUAUGUAAAGCUCUAUCAGCAGGGAAGAUAAUGACGGUACCUGACUAAGAAGCACCGGCUAAAUACGUGCCAGCAGCCGCGGUAAUACGUAUGGUGCAAGCGUUAUCCGGAUUUACUGGGUGUAAAGGGAGCGCAGGCGGUGCGGCAAGUCUGAUGUGAAAGCCCGGGGCUCAACCCCGGUACUGCAUGGGAAACUGUCGUACUAGAGUGUCGGAGGGUAAGCCGCAAUUCCUACUGUACCGGUGAAAUGCGUACAUAUUAGGAGGAACACCAGUGGCGAAGGCGGCUUACUGGACGAUAACUGACGCUGAGGCUCGAGAGCGUGGGGAGCAGACAGGAUUAGAUACCCCGGUAGUCCACGCCGUAAACGAUGAAUACUAGGUGUCGGGAGGCAUUGCCUUUCGGUGCCGUCGCAAACGCAGUAAGUAUUCCACCUGGGGAGUACGUUCGCAAGAAUGAAACUCAAAGGAAUUGACGGGGACCCGCACAAGCGGUGGAGCAUGUGGUUUAAUUCGAAGCAACGCGAAGAACCUUACCAAGUCUUGACAUCCUUCUGACCGGUACUUAAUCGUACCUUCUCUUCGGAGCAGGAGUGACAGGUGGUGCAUGGUUGUCGUCAGCUCGUGUCGUGAGAUGUUGGGUUAAGUCCCGCAACGAGCGCAACCCUUAUCUUUAGUAGCCAGCGGUUCGGCCGGGCACUCUGGAGAGACUGCCAGGGAUAACCUGGAGGAAGGCGGGGAUGACGUCAAAUCAUCAUGCCCCUUAUGACUUGGGCUACACACGUGCUACAAUGGCGUAAACAAAGGGAAGCAAAGCUGUGAGGCCGAGCAAAUCUCAAACAUAACGUCUCAGUUCGGACUGUAGUCUGCAACCCGACUACGCGAAGCUGGAAUCGCUAGUAAUCGCAGAUCAGAAUGCUGCGGUGAAUACGUUCCCGGGGUCUUGUACACACCGCCCGUCAAGGGCAAAUUCGCG